This 2646-nucleotide ribosomal RNA is filed under the name Triticum aestivum (bread wheat). RNAcentral describes it as "partial small subunit ribosomal RNA". Lineage: Eukaryota; Viridiplantae; Streptophyta; Magnoliopsida; Poales; Poaceae. The record is from RNAcentral.
AUGGCGUCGUCCGCCAUGCACGUAUCCAUUCUUUCCCUCCUCCUCCUAGGCACCACAGUGAGCAUCCCGCGCGCCUCUUCUCGAGCCGUCCCCUCCCAGUCCGACGGCGGCGCCACCGGCGGCAAGGCCGUGUACACCAAGGUCUGCGACGCGUCCCGGUUCAUGGCGGCCGGGCUGGACAUGUCCAAGUACCGCUACUGCAACGCGUCGCUUCCGUACGGCGACCGUGUGCGCGAUCUCAUCGGCUGGAUGACGGUGGAGGAGAAGGUGUCCAACCUCGGCGACUGGGCUGACGGCGCGCCCCGCGUCGGCCUUCCCCAGUACAAGUGGUGGUCGGAGGCGCUACACGGGCUGUCCAGCACCGGCCCCACCACCAAGUUCGACGACCCCAAGAAACCGCGUCUCCACUCCGGCCGCGCCGCCGUCUUCAACGGCACCGUCUUCGCUAACGUCAUCAACAGCGCCGCCUCCUUCAACGAGUCCCUCUGGCAGUCCAUCGGCCAGGUACGCACGUUACGUGUCGUCGGUGCCACGUCUGCUCUUUUUCAUAAUAUCUCAUCAUAUAGAGUGCGUCUAACAACAGAUCUGGUGGCAUGGCAGGCGAUCUCGACGGAGGCCCGAGCGAUGUACAACCUGGGCAAGGGAGGGCUGACGUACUGGAGCCCCAACAUCAACGUGGUGCGCGACCCGAGGUGGGGCCGCGCGCUGGAGACGCCCGGCGAGGACCCCUUCGUCGUCGGCCGCUACGCCGUCAAUUUCGUGCGCGGCAUGCAGGACGUCCCGGGCCACGAGGUGGCCUCCGACCCCAUGUCCCGGCCGCUCAAGACCUCCGCGUGCUGCAAGCACUACGCCGCCUACGACGUGGACGACUGGUACGGCCACACGCGGUUCAAGUUCGACGCCCGCGUCGAGGAGCGCGACAUGGUCGAGACCUUCCAGCGCCCGUUCGAGAUGUGCGUCCGCCACGGCGACGUCAGCAGCGUCAUGUGCUCCUACAACCGCGUCAACGGCAUCCCGGCCUGCGCCGACGCGCGCCUCCUCUCCGGCACCAUCCGCCGCGACUGGGGCCUCCACGGCUACAUCGUCUCCGACUGCGACGCCGUGCGCGUCAUGACCGACAACGCCACAUGGCUGGGCUACACCGCGGUCGAGUCCACCGCCGCCGUGCUCAAGGCCGGGCUCGACCUCGACUGCGGCGAGAGCUGGAUCGUGCAGAACGGCAAGCCCGUCAUGGACUUCCUCACCACCUAUGGCCUGGAAGCCGUCCAAAAGGGCAAGACGCGCGAGUCCGACGUCGACAACGCGCUCACCAACCUCUACAUGACGCUCAUGAGGCUCGGCUACUUCGACGGCAUGCCCAGGUACGAGUCCCUCAACGAGAAGGACAUCUGCAGCGACGACCACAGGAGCCUCGCCCUCGACGGGGCCAGACAGGGCAUGGUGCUCCUCAAGAACCACGGCGGCCUGCUCCCCCUUGACCCCAAGAAGUUCGGCGCCGUGGCCGUCCGCGGCCCACAUGCCGAGGCGCCUGAAAAGAUCAUGGACGGAGACUACACAGGUGAUCAGCCCUUCUCUAGCUGCUGCUGUACUACGUACACCUCACAUGUCACGACACAUGACCUACUCACAUGUUACACAUUCUCUUGGAUGAAAUUUGUAAAUGCAGGGCCGCCUUGCCGGUACGUGACGCCGCGAGAUGGCAUAAGCAAGGACGUGAAGAUCUCGCACGACGCAAACUUGACCAUCUACUUCGGUGGCAUAAACAUGCACAUCGAGAGGGAGGGCAACGACAGGGAGGAUCUCCUCCUGCCCAAGAACCAGACGGAGCAGAUCCUCCAUAUCGCGGCGGCAUCGCCUAACCCGAUCGUCCUCGUGAUCCUGUCCGGCGGCGGCAUCGACAUCUCCUUCGCGCAGGGCAACCCCAAGAUCGGCGCCAUCCUCUGGGCCGGGUACCCUGGUGGGGAAGGUGGCAACGCCAUUGCUGAUGUCAUCUUCGGAAGAUACAGUCCAGGAGGACGGCUGCCAUUGACAUGGUUCAAGAACAAGUACAUCCACCAGAUUCCUAUGACGUCCAUGGAGCUACGGCCGCGGCCGGACCACGGAUAUCCGGGGAGGACGUACAAGUUCUACGACGGGCCGGAGGUGCUUUAUCGGUUCGGCCACGGCCUGAGCUACACCAAGUUCCGAUACGAGACCAGCGCUGGCAACGGCACCGCAGUCACCCUCGCCGCCGGCGGGCACUGCAAGCGGCUCAGCUACAAGGCCGGCGCCGUGGACGCUACACCGUCCUGCCCCGCCAUCGACGUCGCGAGCCACUCCUGCAAAGAGACCGUGGACUUCAACGUCAGCGUCGUCAAUGGCGGUGACGUGGACGGCAGCCACACGGUGCUGGUGUACACUGUGCCGCCGCCCGAGGUGGCCGGCGCGCCCAUCAAGCAGGUGGUGGCGUUCCAGAGGGUGUUUGUGAAGGCGGGCGGCGCAGCGACCGUGGGGUUCUCGCUCAAGGUGUGCGAGGCGUUUGGCAUCGUGGAGAAGACGGCUUACACCGUCGUGCCGUCAGGGGUCAGCACCGUCCUCCUUGAGAACGGUGACACGUCGUCGCCGUCGUCGGUGUCUUUCCCCGUCAAGAUCAACUUCUCUACUUAG